Molecule: transfer RNA, 91 nt
Filed under: Geobacteraceae bacterium
Lineage: Bacteria; Pseudomonadati; Thermodesulfobacteriota; Desulfuromonadia; Geobacterales; Geobacteraceae
Description: tRNA-Ser
Rfam family: tRNA
About the family: Transfer RNA (tRNA) molecules are approximately 80 nucleotides in length. Their secondary structure includes four short double-helical elements and three loops (D, anti-codon, and T loops). Further hydrogen bonds mediate the characteristic L-shaped molecular structure. tRNAs have two regions of fundamental functional importance: the anti-codon, which is responsible for specific mRNA codon recognition, and the 3' end, to which the tRNAs corresponding amino acid is attached (by aminoacyl-tRNA synthetases). tRNAs cope with the degeneracy of the genetic code in two manners: having more than one tRNA (with a specific anti-codon) for a particular amino acid; and 'wobble' base-pairing, i.e. permitting non-standard base-pairing at the 3rd anti-codon position.
Source: RNAcentral
GGAGAGAUGUCCGAGCGGCUGAAGGAGCACGACUGGAAAUCGUGUGUGCGUUAAUAGCGCACCGAGGGUUCAAAUCCCUCUCUCUCCGCCA